This 253-nucleotide ribosomal RNA is filed under the name uncultured bacterium. RNAcentral's name for it is "partial 16S ribosomal RNA". It matches the Rfam family "Bacterial small subunit ribosomal RNA", at positions 524 to 776 of the family's 1533-position model. The record is from RNAcentral.
UACGUAGGGUGCAAGCGUUAAUCGGAAUUACUGGGCGUAAAGCGUGCGCAGGCGGUUCUAUAAGACAGAUGUGAAAUCCCCGGGCUCAACCUGGGAACUGCAUUUGUGACUGUAGAGCUGGAGUGCGGCAGAGGGGGACGGAAUUCCGCGUGUAGCAGUGAAAUGCGUAGAUAUGCGGAGGAACACCGAUGGCGAAGGCAAUCCCCUGGGCCUGCACUGACGCUCAUGCACGAAAGCGUGGGGAGCAAACAGG